Arvicanthis niloticus (Nile rat) is the source of this 170-nucleotide small nuclear RNA. RefSeq annotates it as U1 spliceosomal RNA. The record is from RefSeq and is a predicted model, not a curated record. Lineage: Eukaryota; Metazoa; Chordata; Mammalia; Rodentia; Muridae.
AUACUUACCUGGCAGGGGAGAUACCAUGAUCACAAAGGUGAUUUUCCCAGGGCGAGGCUCACCCAUUGCACUCGGGGUGUGCUGACCCCUGCGAUUUCCCCAAAUGCUGAAGACGGAGACGGGGCAGCUUGGAGCCACCCAACUGUUGAUAGACACAGGGUCUCCCUCCA